This 546-nucleotide long non-coding RNA is filed under the name Fukomys damarensis (Damara mole-rat). Its description in RNAcentral is "lncRNA (ENSFDAG00000030734.1)". Lineage: Eukaryota; Metazoa; Chordata; Mammalia; Rodentia; Bathyergidae. The record is from RNAcentral.
AUGCUAACAGAAUGGGCCCCAGGGGAGACGUUCACUGUGUCUGACAGGUUCAGUUUGGCACCCACCACUUGGAUGAUCCACCAGGAGAGGAGCACGUCACAGGGAGCCACUGUCACCGCAGUGGAAGAACACAUGGAAAACAGACCUGAAUCCCACCUGGAACACGGAGCUGAGCCAGCCUGUGGACCUAUCUUCCAGCAGAAGUAGCUGCCCCCAGAUACAUCUGUAACAAAUAUCUCUACUAGGGCCUCUCUGUGCUCAUCAGGCCCCAGCAGCGCUGGACAUCACAUGUGCUUAGGUGCCAAAAGACAGGGCGGAAUCAACAGUCUAGGUCCUCAAGAGGCUCAGAGAGCAAGGGGGUCUGGACCAACAGGGAUGACUUCCCGGAAGGGAUGGGCCUCGGUAAUAAGAUUUCCCAUGGGGAAAUAGCGUACAGUGUACAAGGACUUCUCGUGGACAGACAGACGGAGUCACACGAAUUCUCACAAUAACCAUGUGGGGUGAGGAGCAAUCAUUCCCAUUUACAAUUUAAACAACAAAGGCCCA